Molecule: small nucleolar RNA, 104 nt
Organism: Lemur catta (Ring-tailed lemur)
Lineage: Eukaryota; Metazoa; Chordata; Mammalia; Primates; Lemuridae
Product: small nucleolar RNA U13
Exons: 1
Source: RefSeq, a predicted model, not a curated record
AUCCUUUUGUAGUUCAUAAACAUGAUGAUUGGGUUUUCAUGCCCAUGCGUGAGAUGUGCCUCCUUCAAUCCUCCUUAGGGCAUCAGCAUAUUACCCAUCUGACA